RNAcentral lists this ribosomal RNA (458 nucleotides) under uncultured bacterium. RNAcentral's name for it is "partial 16S ribosomal RNA". It matches the Rfam family "Bacterial small subunit ribosomal RNA", at positions 338 to 795 of the family's 1533-position model. The record is from RNAcentral.
CCUACGGGGACUGCAGUGAGGAAUAUUGGUCAAUGGCCGCAGGGCUGAACCAGCCAAGUCGCGUGAGGGAUGACGGUCCUAUGGAUUGUAAACCUCUGUUGUACGGGAGCAAAGGGCGCCACGUGUGGCGAUUUGCGAGUACCUGAAGAAAAAGAAUCGGCUAACUCCGUGCCAGCAGCCGCGGUAAUACGGAGGAUGCGAGCGUUAUCCGGAUGUAUUGGGUUUAAAGGGUGAGCAGGCGGAAUGUUAAGUCUGCGGUAAAAUUUCGGGGCGCAAACCCGUCGUGCCGUUGAUACUGGCGUUCUUGAGUGAGCGAGAAGUAUGCGGAAUGCGUGGUGUAGCGGUGAAAUGCAUAGAUAUCACGAAGAACUCCGAAUGCGAAGGCAGCAUACCGGCGCUCAACUGACGCUCAUGCACGAAAGCGUGGGUAUCGAACAGGAUUAGAUACCCUAGUAGUC